AGCAGCCGCGGUAAUUCCAGCUCCAAUAGCGUAUAUUAAAGUUGUUGCAGUUAAAAAGCUCGUAGUUGAAUUUCGGGAUUGACACAUCGGUCGUGCCUUAAGGGGUAUGAACUGGUGUAGUCAGUUUCUCACCUUCUGGAGAACCGCGAUGUCCUUAAUUGGGUGCCGCGGGGAACCAGGACCUUUACUUUGAAAAAAUUAGAGUGUUUAAAGCAGGCAUUUUGCUUGAAUACAUUAGCAUGGAAUAAUAAAAUAGGACGGAUGGUUCUAUUUUGUUGGUUUCUAGGAUCACCGUAAUGAUUAAUAGGGAUAGUUGGGGGCAUUAGUAUUCAAUUGUCAGAGGUGAAAUUCUUGGAUUUAUUGAAGACUAACUACUGCGAAAGCAUUUGCCAAGGAUGUUUUCAUUAAUCAAGAACGAAAGUUAGGGGAUCGAAGACGAUCAGAUACCGUCGUAGUCUUAACCAUAAACUAUGCCGACUAGGAAUCAGACGAUGUUAAUUUUUUAAUGACUCGUUUGGCACCUUACGG
This 528-nucleotide ribosomal RNA is filed under the name uncultured Entrophospora. Its description in RNAcentral is "SSU rRNA". It matches the Rfam family "Eukaryotic small subunit ribosomal RNA", at positions 569 to 1093 of the family's 1831-position model. Lineage: Eukaryota; Fungi; Glomeromycota; Glomeromycetes; Entrophosporales; Entrophosporaceae. The record is from RNAcentral.